GGGAGAUGUUGUGGCUCAGUGGAAGAGCCUCUGCUUAGCAGGCAAAAGGUCCCAGGGUUCAAUCCCCGGAAUCUCCCG
RNAcentral lists this transfer RNA (78 nucleotides) under Sphaerodactylus townsendi. RNAcentral's name for it is "tRNA-Ala". Lineage: Eukaryota; Metazoa; Chordata; Lepidosauria; Squamata; Sphaerodactylidae. The record is from RNAcentral.